GAGGAGUACAGGGUGAUCCAGGAUUAAA
This 28-nucleotide small RNA is filed under the name Bombyx mori (domestic silkworm). RNAcentral's name for it is "ovarian small RNA-15893". The record is from RNAcentral. Lineage: Eukaryota; Metazoa; Arthropoda; Insecta; Lepidoptera; Bombycidae.